This 502-nucleotide ribosomal RNA is filed under the name uncultured bacterium. RNAcentral's name for it is "bacterial SSU rRNA". It matches the Rfam family "Bacterial small subunit ribosomal RNA", at positions 157 to 638 of the family's 1533-position model. The record is from RNAcentral.
GGAGAGCUAAUACAGCAUAAGACCACGACCUCGCUGAGGUUGCGGCCAAAGCAGACCUCUUCACGAAAGUUUGCGCUAAGGGAUGAGCCUGCGGCCCAUCAGCUAGUUGGUAGGGUAAUGGCCUACCAAGGCUAAGACGGGUAGCUGGUCUGAGAGGAUGAACAGCCACACUGGAACUGAGACACGGUCCAGACUCCUACGGGAGGCAGCAGUGGGGAAUCUUGCGCAAUGCGCGAAAGCGUGACGCAGCAACGCCGCGUGGGGGAAGACGGCCUUCGGGUUGUAAACCCCUUUCAGGAGGGACGAAGGUUCACCGGUGAAUAGCCGUGUGGAUUGACGGUACCUCCACAAGAAGCUCCGGCUAACUACGUGCCAGCAGCCGCGGUAAUACGUAGGGAGCAAGCGUUGUCCGGAAUCAUUGGGCGUAAAGCGCGCGUAGUGGCUUCGUAAGUCCGUUGUGAAAGUCAAAGGCUCAACCUUUGAAAGCCGAUGGAUACUGCGG